This 1185-nucleotide unclassified non-coding RNA is filed under the name uncultured cyanobacterium. RNAcentral's name for it is "bacterial SSU rRNA". It matches the Rfam family "Bacterial small subunit ribosomal RNA", at positions 145 to 1366 of the family's 1533-position model. The record is from RNAcentral. Lineage: Bacteria; Bacillati; Cyanobacteriota.
AACCUUUGGAAACAAUGGUUAAUCCCGGAUAAGCCUCGGGUAAAAGAUUAAUUGCCUAAUGAAGGGCUCCGGUCUGAUUAGCUAGUUGUGAGGUAAAGGCUCCCCAAGGCAUCGAUCAGUAGCUGUCUGAGAGGAUGACCAGCCACACUGGGACUGAGACCCGGCCCAGACUCCUACGGGAGGCAGCAGUGGGGAAUUUUCCGCAAUGGGCGAAAGCCUGACGGAGCAAGACCGCGUGAGGGAGGAAGGCUCUUGGGUUGUAAACCUCUUUUCUUGGGGAAGAACAAAAUGACGGUACCCAAGGAAUCAGCAUCGGCUAACUCCGUGCCAGCAGCCGCGGUAAUACGGAGGAUGCAAGCGUUAUCCGGAAUUAUUGGGCGUAAAGCGUCCGCAGGUGGCAUUUCAAGUCUGUUGUCAAAGACCGGGGCUUAACCCUGGAAAGGCAAUGGAAACUGAAGCGCUAGAGUAUCGUAGGGGUAGAGGGAAUUCCUGGUGUAGCGGUGAAAUGCGUAGAGAUCAGGAAGAACAUCGGUGGCGAAAGCGCUCUACUGGACGAUAACUGACACUCAGGGACGAAAGCUAGGGGAGCGAAUGGGAUUAGAUACCCCAGUAGUCCUAGCCGUAAACGAUGGAUACUAGGUGUGGCUUGUAUCGACCCGAGCCGUGCCGUAGCUAACGCGUUAAGUAUCCCGCCUGGGGAGUACGCGCGCAAGCGUGAAACUCAAAGGAAUUGACGGGGGCCCGCACAAGCGGUGGAGUAUGUGGUUUAAUUCGAUGCAACGCGAAGAACCUUACCAGGGCUUGACAUGUCUGGAAUCUGCUUGAAAGAGGAGAGUGCCUUCGGGAACCAGAACACAGGUGGUGCAUGGCUGUCGUCAGCUCGUGUCGUGAGAUGUUGGGUUAAUUUCCGCAACGAGCGCAACCCUCGUCUUUAGUUGCCAGCAUUAAGUUGGGCACUCUAGAGAGACUGCCGGUGACAAACCGGAGGAAGGUGGGGAUGACGUCAAGUCAGCAUGCCCCUCACGUCCUGGGCUACACACGUACUACAAUGCGACGGACAAAGGGCAGCCAACCAGCGAUGGUGCGCUAAUCCCAUAAACCGUGGCUCAGUUCAGAUCGCAGGCUGCAACUCGCCUGCGUGAAGGAGGAAUCGCUAGUAAUUGCAGGUCAGCAUACUGCAGUGAA